UUUGGUGGUAGAUUCGGGCAUCAUCAAUGAAGGGGACUUAGGCAUGCACCACGCGAUGGAUGAUGAGGAGAUGGCCGAGAUUAGAUCAUUAGGAGAGCAGCACCAGAUUGAAUGGAAUGACACCCUGAAUUUAGUCACCUCAGCAUGGUGGUUUAAGUUCUUGAAGAACAUGGAAAUUGGGCCAUAGGUUAAAGCUGAAGAUGAUGUGUAUCAUCCAUUUGGUGAAGUCAUGGAAUUCCCAGCCUGGUUAAAUGCAAAUGACAGCUGCUUGCAACAAUUAGAUGACCAGUGCUCCAGUGACUACUUCCAAGAUCCUGCAUUACCAUGGUAACCAUUUUUUUCUUGGUCUUUAAUUUCACGUUUUUCAAAAUUAUAAAAGAAAUAUAGAGAUGUUUUAUGUUCCUAGGUUCUCUCUCUGUACAGUGUUGGAGGUGUUUAUUUUAUAUUUUAUUUUUAUUAUUAUUAUUUUCUCCCUGUCCAUAUUAAUAAGGGAUGUAGCUGGGGCAGUAGUGUUUUUACUAGCAUUUCACUCUGUGAAUUGCAGUACACCCACCAGACUGAAACUUUCACUAGGUAGGUAGUGCCCACAGGUCCCCACGGCAUGGUCAUGUUUUUAUUACAUUAUGCAACAAAUUUUGAAAAUUAGCUAGAAAAAUACAGUUUCAUGUGAGAAACUCUUGUGAACAUAUUUAUACGGUGUUAUGUAAAGGGCCAUAAUCUUGGCUCAUUGGAGUAGUACCCUAAGAUUCUCUAUCGAGUCUUUAGGCUUAAUUUGCUCAAUUUUGUGUCAUGUUUUUAAGCCAAAUUUAUGGGAAAUUUAUAUUGACCGACGCGAAGCAUCAAGCAUGUCGGCCCUCUGUUGAAAUUAAUAUAUUUUUGGAACAACUUUUUAAAUAGUUUUAAGUUAUUUUAUUUUAUUUUUCCUGAUCUCUAUACCAACAUGGAAGUAUCCAUACUCAAAGCACCUAAUUAAUCCUUUUGCAGAACUGUUUUGUCUUUGCCACCAAUUAGUAAAGGUGGGUGGAAGGAUUUCUUGAGUUUGUAUGAUAAGAAAUUUGGUACUAGCUUAUUGAUUUUCAAACUACUCUUCUUCAUGUCUUGUUGAAGCUUAAUGAUUCAGAAGGGGCCAAUAUUGCAUAUUCAAACUCAAUCAGCNNNNNNNNNNNNNNNNNNNNNNNNNNNNNNNNNNNNNNNNNNNNNNNNNNNNNNNNNNNNNNNNNNNNNNNNNNNNNNNNNNNNNNNNNNNNNNNNNNNNUGCUAUAUUAUAUUAACAACAUCUACAUUUGCUGAUGGUUUAUUUCUUACUUGAAAUGGUAUGUGGAAAUGCGUUCCUAAAAGAGUUUUGUCUGCUUUUAGUGGCUGAGUUGCUGCUGUAUGAAUUUCAUCUUUUUCUCUUUGUGCUGCUUGUUGCUGGGUACAUGCCCAAUGACACCCUUGCAGCAGAGUUUAAGGCAAUGCAAGCCCAGGCUGAAACUGUAAGCCCAUGUCAACAUGGCAAUUAGGCUGAAACUAAUUGAAUUUUAUUUUUGUUUUUUUAAUGGUGUUGUUUGGGUGACUUGAGUUUAAUUAUGUGAAAUUUUGUUGUUGAAGUGAAUUACUUUCAGCUUUCCUCCAAUUGCAAUGAUGUGUCCAAUUCUUUUCCAAUAGCAGCGAUGAAUAGGCUUGUGUCUUGACAAUUAAGUCUAUCAGUCUCUUGUCUGCUUGACUAUGAGCCCCAAUUGAUUGAGUAGUUUAGGAAUGUGCAGUAUAAACCACCUGUUUAAGGUGAUUGAGUAGCUUUAGCUUUGUGCUAGUAAUUUUCAUGUUUAGUUUGAUAUUUGUCCCAUUUUUGUGUAUAGUGUAUGCGUGAACCAUUCUGCACUAUCUGGUUUGUUUUUUUAUUUUUUAUUAUUUUUCUGUUUUUUGUUGUGAUACCGAAACAUUUAUUUAUGCAUCAGAAUUUCACCCUCUCUUUCACUUUCUACCGAGGAAAUUCCUUACAUGCCAAUAUCACAAGCUCCUUUGGUGGUAGAUUCGGGCAUCAUCAAUGAAGGGGACUUAGGCAUGCACCACGCGAUGGAUGAUGAGGAGAUGGCCGAGAUUAGAUCAUUAGGAGAGCAGCACCAGAUUGAAUGGAAUGACACCCUGAAUUUAGUCACCUCAGCAUGGUGGUUUAAGUUCUUGAAGAACAUGGAAAUUGGGCCAUAGGUUAAAGCUGAAGAUGAUGUGUAUCAUCCAUUUGGUGAAGUCAUGGAAUUCCCAGCCUGGUUAAAUGCAAAUGACAGCUGCUUGCAACAAUUAGAUGACCAGUGCUCCAGUGACUACUUCCAAGAUCCUGCAUUACCAUGGUAACCAUUUUUUUC
Molecule: long non-coding RNA, 2342 nt
Filed under: Panax ginseng (ginseng)
Lineage: Eukaryota; Viridiplantae; Streptophyta; Magnoliopsida; Apiales; Araliaceae
Description: long non-coding RNA (PGIN_LNC006064)
Source: RNAcentral